UUGUUUCAAUUCUCUUCAUCUUCUUACACUUUUUACCCAAAUCUUCUUCAAGCUCAACUUGGGUAUCCAUCUUCCUUAUACCUCUUCGUCUCUUUUGUGCUCAAACUGGGUAUAAUUAACAGGAAUUGCACUGGAACAAAGAUUCAAUUGAUCAAGAUGUCACCUACAACUCCAAGAGUAACUUCAAAGUCGCGGAAGGGAAGGUAAACUUGACUAGACACUUAUGUUGUUCGGAUUUCACACCACCAUUCAUGUCGGUAUUUGAUUCGGGUGCACAUUUAGUGGUUGAAUUGUUCAUCACAUAAAUUUAGGAUUGAAAAGAAAGGAUUCGAGUGCGGUACGAGUGCUGUGAUAGGACAAAUAAAUGUAUAUUACGACAUAUAAAUCAAAAUACAAAUGCCAGGAUCACGGUUUCACAUGCUGUCUGUUCUUGAUGAAAGGUGCAUUUCAAUUUCUCUGGAACAAGUCCAGUGUUUCCCAUGCCACCUCCGUGUUUUAUUAUAAUUCAGAUCUGCAAAGGUGAUGAUUAAUGAGAAGCCAAAAAAGUGCAAAUGAAAUCUGAAGUCAAGUGUAAGAGGUGGUCACUCAUGAUGAGAAACUCAAGAAGAUGAGGGAGCUCAAAAGAAGGAAUAAAAAUUUUGGUUCAAU
Molecule: long non-coding RNA, 648 nt
Organism: Solanum stenotomum
Lineage: Eukaryota; Viridiplantae; Streptophyta; Magnoliopsida; Solanales; Solanaceae
Exons: 3
Source: RefSeq, a predicted model, not a curated record